This 1372-nucleotide ribosomal RNA is filed under the name uncultured bacterium. RNAcentral describes it as "bacterial SSU rRNA". It matches the Rfam family "Bacterial small subunit ribosomal RNA", at positions 28 to 1381 of the family's 1533-position model. The record is from RNAcentral.
GAUGAACGCUGGCGGCGUGCCUAAUACUUGCAAGUCGAGCGAACGGACGAGAAGCUUGCUUCUCUGAUGUUAGCGGCGGACGGGUGAGUAACACGUGGAUAACCUACCUAUAAGACUGGGAUAACUUCGGGAAACCGGAGCUAAUACCGGAUAAUAUUUUGAACCGCAUGGUUCAAAAGUGAAAGACGGUCUUGCUGUCACUUAUAGAUGGAUCCGCGCUGCAUUAGCUAGUUGGUAAGGUAACGGCUUACCAAGGCAACGAUGCAUAGCCGACCUGAGAGGGUGAUCGGCCACACUGGAACUGAGACACGGUCCAGACUCCUACGGGAGGCAGCAGUAGGGAAUCUUCCGCAAUGGGCGAAAGCCUGACGGAGCAACGCCGCGUGAGUGAUGAAGGUCUUCGGAUCGUAAAACUCUGUUAUUAGGGAAGAACAUAUGUGUAAGUAACUGUGCACAUCUUGACGGUACCUAAUCAGAAAGCCACGGCUAACUACGUGCCAGCAGCCGCGGUAAUACGUAGGUGGCAAGCGUUAUCCGGAAUUAUUGGGCGUAAAGCGCGCGUAGGCGGUUUUUUAAGUCUGAUGUGAAAGCCCACGGCUCAACCGUGGAGGGUCAUUGGAAACUGGAAAACUUGAGUGCAGAAGAGGAAAGUGGAAUUCCAUGUGUAGCGGUGAAAUGCGCAGAGAUAUGGAGGAACACCAGUGGCGAAGGCGACUUUCUGGUCUGUAACUGACGCUGAUGUGCGAAAGCGUGGGGAUCAAACAGGAUUAGAUACCCUGGUAGUCCACGCCGUAAACGAUGAGUGCUAAGUGUUAGGGGGUUUCCGCCCCUUAGUGCUGCAGCUAACGCAUUAAGCACUCCGCCUGGGGAGUACGACCGCAAGGUUGAAACUCAAAGGAAUUGACGGGGACCCGCACAAGCGGUGGAGCAUGUGGUUUAAUUCGAAGCAACGCGAAGAACCUUACCAAAUCUUGACAUCCUUUGACAACUCUAGAGAUAGAGCUUUCCCCUUCGGGGGACAAAGUGACAGGUGGUGCAUGGUUGUCGUCAGCUCGUGUCGUGAGAUGUUGGGUUAAGUCCCGCAACGAGCGCAACCCUUAAGCUUAGUUGCCAUCAUUAAGUUGGGCACUCUAAGUUGACUGCCGGUGACAAACCGGAGGAAGGUGGGGAUGACGUCAAAUCAUCAUGCCCCUUAUGAUUUGGGCUACACACGUGCUACAAUGGACAAUACAAAGGGCAGCGAAACCGCGAGGUCAAGCAAAUCCCAUAAAGUUGUUCUCAGUUCGGAUUGUAGUCUGCAACUCGACUACAUGAAGCUGGAAUCGCUAGUAAUCGUAGAUCAGCAUGCUACGGUGAAUACGUUCCCGGGUCU